GAUGAACGCUAGCGGCAGGCUUAAUACAUGCAAGUCGAGGGGCAGCGCAGUGUAGCAAUACAUGGGCGGCGACCGGCAAACGAGUGCGGAACACGUACGCAAUCUACCCAAAACUGAUGAAUAGCCCUCCGAAAGGAGGAUUAAUACAUCGUAACUUAAUGAAGUGGCAUCGCUUUAUUAAUAUAGCUCCGGCGGUUUUGGAUGAGCGUGCGCCUGAUUAGGUAGUUGGCGGGGUAACGGCCCACCCAAGCCUACGAUCAGUAACUGGUGUGAGAGCACGACCAGUCACACGGGCACUGAGACACGGGCCCGACCUCCUACGGGAGGCAGCAGUAAGGAAUAUUGGUCAAUGGACGCAAGU
Molecule: ribosomal RNA, 361 nt
Filed under: uncultured bacterium
Lineage: Bacteria
Description: bacterial SSU rRNA
Rfam family: Bacterial small subunit ribosomal RNA
Source: RNAcentral